RNAcentral lists this ribosomal RNA (2577 nucleotides) under Triticum aestivum (bread wheat). RNAcentral describes it as "partial small subunit ribosomal RNA". The record is from RNAcentral. Lineage: Eukaryota; Viridiplantae; Streptophyta; Magnoliopsida; Poales; Poaceae.
AUGGCGCCAACGACGCACUUCACGCCGUCGCAGGCGCACGCGGCGGCCGCCUCCCACCACCCCGCGGCGGCGGCGGCGGCGGCCACCGCCACAGCCACUGCCCGGCUGCAUGCGUCGGCGUCCGCGUCGGCGCCUGCCGCGGCGGCGGCGCUUUGCCCGCCCUUCCUCGCGGCGGGCUCCCACUCCGUGGCGUGCCCGCCCGUCCAGAACCCGCUAUUUAGUGGCCCGGCCACGCCGUGGGCGGUGCAGCCCCAGCGCGCCGCUGCUGGGGCCCUUGGCCCGGAGUUCCGGCGUGCGCGCUCCACCAAGAACAUCUCCAAGCGCAACAACCGUGGUGCAGGUGGCCAGGAACGCGGGGCGCGCGCGUCCUCAGCUGCUGCUGGGCGCUGUGUCGACAAGCUGCUCCGCGUUGCCCCUGAAGACCGGCGCGCGCUCGGCGCAUCGCUUUCGUCUUUCCGGGGAGAGCUGGUUGGUCCUGAUGAUUACUGCCAUGUCCUUCGGGAGCUCGGCGACAGGGACAAGUCUGCGCUCCGUGCGCUUGAGGUGUUCCACGCUGCACUGCCCCUUGUUGGCAAUGGCUCCGUCGAUAAGGGCAAGCUUUUGACCGCCGCAAUUGGUGCACUCGGCAAGAUGGGGCGACCAGACCUCGCAAGAAGAGGUUUUGAUGCUGGCAUUGCAGGGGGUUAUGGCAAAACGGUGUUUGCAUACUCAGCGCUCAUAUCAGCAUAUGCGAGGAGUGGUCUUGCGACCGAGGCCAUGGGGGUGCUUGAGUCGAUGAAGGGUGCAGGCUUGCGGCCUACCACAGUUACGUACAAUGCGGUGAUUGAUGCAUGCGGGAAAGGGGGUGUUGACCUCAGGUUCACGCUCGGAUAUUUUCGUCAGAUGCUACGGGAUGGGCUCUGUCCCGACCGGAAGACUUUCAAUUCACUUCUUUCUGCAUGUAGCCGCGCAGGGCACUUGGAGGAUGCCCGUGCUGUCUUUGAUGAAAUGAUCCAUCUUGGCAUUGGGCGUGACAUUUAUACAUACAACACAUUUAUCGAUGCAAUUUGCAAGUGUGGCAACAUCGAGCUUGCUAUGCAGGUUCUGCUGGAUAUGGAAGCGAAAAAGCUGAAGCCAAAUGUUGUUACAUACAGUACACUGAUUGAUGGAUACUCCAAGCUGGAGAAGUAUGAGGGGGCACUCAAGUUGUACGAAAAGAUGAAGUCUUUGGGAAUUCGAUUGGACCGAGUUUGCUACAACACAGUGCUGGCUAUUUAUGUGAAGACCGGAAAGUAUGCCGAAAUUGCCAUUGUGUGUGACGAGAUGGAGGACUCUGGGAUUGAGAAGGAUACUGUCACUUACAAUUCUUUGAUUAAUGGAUAUGGAAAGCAGGGACGCUUGGACAUCGUCUCUUUCCUCGUCCAAGAUAUGAGGAGACGCGGGGUAGCUCCUAGUGUACUCACAUACUCAACUUUGAUUGAUAUCUAUUCAAAGGCAGGAAUGCAUGGAGAUGCAUUUAAUGUCUAUUUAGAUUUUAAGGAAUCUGGCCUAAAGGCCGAUGUUGUUCUGUUCAGCUCUUUCAUUGACACAUUGGCCAAGAAUGGAUUGGUAGAGUGGGCAUUAUCUUUGCUAAAUGAUAUGACCGAGAUGGGUAUCAAGCCCAAUGUGGUUACAUAUAACACAAUAAUCGAUGCAUUUGGCAAGUCUAAGGUACAUGCUGAGGAGGAUCCUGAAGUUGGGGACAUGGGCAUUGUUGGGGUUUAUAAUGGCCAGAUCAUAAGGGCUGCUAAUCCAGUGACAAGAGGACACUCUGCCAUUGAUGUCCGGAUGAGGAGGUCUCAGGAAUUAUAUUUCAUUCUGGAAUUGUUUCAGAAGAUGGUCCAACAGGGUGUAAGGCCAAAUGUUGUUACAUUUUCUGCGAUCCUGAAUGCUUGCAGUCGCUGUAAUAACUUUGAAGAUGCAGCCCUAUUACUGGAACAACUUCGCUUGUUUGAUAACUUUGUCUAUGGCGUUGCGUAUGGGCUCCUUAUGGGUUACCAAGAAAUUUGGUCGCAAGCGCAGUCCCUUUUUAAUCAGCUGGGACGCAUGGAUUCUCCAACAUCCUCUGCCUUUUAUAAUGCUCUUACUGAUAUGCUAUGGCAUUUUGGCCAGAGGCAAGGAGCUCAGUUAAUUGUGCUCAAAGGGGUAAAUCUCCGUGUGUGGGAGAACACAUGGAGUGAGUUUUGCUUGGACCUGCACCUUAUGUCAUGUGGUGCAGCUCAAGCAAUGGUUCAUGCAUGGCUCCUGAAUGUGCGCUCUAUUGUCUUCGAAGGACGAGCUAUGCCUGAGUUUCUAAGCAUUCUGACAGGGUGGGGAAAGCAUAGCAAGAUUGCGGGCGCAAGCACUCUUCGCCAUGUCAUCGAAGCACUUCUCAACUCAAUCGGAGCACCGUUUCAGGUUGAGCGAUUCAACAUUGGAAGGUUUGUAUCGCCCAGCGUCGUGGUGGCUGCCUGGUUGAGAGAAUCCGGCACCAUCAACACGAUACUCGUCAGCGACGAGCGUGCGCAGCGUGCAAGCCCAUCCAAUCUGGUGCCGAGGCUGGAGGCGCUGCAGUUGUAG